CUGUGCUAGACGGGGAGGUAGCGGUGCCCUGAUCCCGCAGAUCGCGGGGGACCUGCAAUCCGCUGCAGCAGGGUCGAAUCCCCGAGUGAGGCCGCACGCAGGCGGGCGGACCCUCAACCGGAGGGCGUGGAAGGCCGGACCCUAUGCGACGGUUCGCGGUGAACCCCGUCAGGACCGGAAGGUAGCAGCGGUAAGCCGAAGGAUCGGGCGCCGUAGGUUCUAUCCGGCCCGAGUCCGAAGGUCGGAGAUGCCCGCCCGGCGGCGGUCGAACAAGGGUGCACAG
This 283-nucleotide signal recognition particle RNA is filed under the name Kiritimatiella glycovorans. RNAcentral describes it as "Bacterial large signal recognition particle RNA". It matches the Rfam family "Bacterial large signal recognition particle RNA". Rfam says of the family: The signal recognition particle (SRP) is a universally conserved ribonucleoprotein involved in the co-translational targeting of proteins to membranes. Archaeal SRP consists of a 7S RNA and homologues of the eukaryotic SRP19 and SRP54 proteins. Lineage: Bacteria; Pseudomonadati; Kiritimatiellota; Kiritimatiellia; Kiritimatiellales; Kiritimatiellaceae. The record is from Rfam by way of RNAcentral.